GGUUAAGCGACUAAGCGUACACGGUGGAUGCCCAGGCAGUCAGAGGCGAUGAAGGACGUGCUAAUCUGCGAUAAGCGUCGGUAAGGUGAUAUGAACCGUUAUAACCGGCGAUUUCCGAAUGGGGAAACCCAGUGUGUUUCGACACACUAUCAUUAACUGAAUCCAUAGGUUAAUGAGGCGAACCGGGGGAACUGAAACAUCUAAGUACCCCGAGGAAAAGAAAUCAACCGAGAUUCCCCCAGUAGCGGCGAGCGAACGGGGAGCAGCCCAGAGCCUGAAUCAGUGUGUGUGUUAGUGGAAGCGUCUGGAAAGGCGCGCGAUACAGGGUGACAGCCCCGUACACAAAAAUGCACAUGCUGUGAGCUCGAUGAGUAGGGCGGGACACGUGGUAUCCUGUCUGAAUAUGGGGGGACCAUCCUCCAAGGCUAAAUACUCCUGACUGACCGAUAGUGAACCAGUACCGUGAGGGAAAGGCGAAAAGAACCCCGGCGAGGGGAGUGAAAAAGAACCUGAAACCGUGUACGUACAAGCAGUGGGAGCACGCUUAGGCGUGUGACUGCGUACCUUUUGUAUAAUGGGUCAGCGACUUAUAUUCUGUAGCAAGGUUAACCGAAUAGGGGAGCCGAAGGGAAACCGAGUCUUAACUGGGCGUUAAGUUGCAGGGUAUAGACCCGAAACCCGGUGAUCUAGCCAUGGGCAGGUUGAAGGUUGGGUAACACUAACUGGAGGACCGAACCGACUAAUGUUGAAAAAUUAGCGGAUGACUUGUGGCUGGGGGUGAAAGGCCAAUCAAACCGGGAGAUAGCUGGUUCUCCCCGAAAGCUAUUUAGGUAGCGCCUCGUGAAUUCAUCUCCGGGGGUAGAGCACUGUUUCGGCAAGGGGGUCAUCCCGACUUACCAACCCGAUGCAAACUGCGAAUACCGGAGAAUGUUAUCACGGGAGACACACGGCGGGUGCUAACGUCCGUCGUGAAGAGGGAAACAACCCAGACCGCCAGCUAAGGUCCCAAAGUCAUGGUUAAGUGGGAAACGAUGUGGGAAGGCCCAGACAGCCAGGAUGUUGGCUUAGAAGCAGCCAUCAUUUAAAGAAAGCGUAAUAGCUCACUGGUCGAGUCGGCCUGCGCGGAAGAUGUAACGGGGCUAAACCAUGCACCGAAGCUGCGGCAGCGACGCUGAUGCGUUGUUGGGUAGGGGAGCGUUCUGUAAGCCUGUGAAGGUGUGCUGUGAGGCAUGCUGGAGGUAUCAGAAGUGCGAAUGCUGACAUAAGUAACGAUAAAGCGGGUGAAAAGCCCGCUCGCCGGAAGACCAAGGGUUCCUGUCCAACGUUAAUCGGGGCAGGGUGAGUCGACCCCUAAGGCGAGGCCGAAAGGCGUAGUCGAUGGGAAACAGGUUAAUAUUCCUGUACUUGGUGUUACUGCGAAGGGGGACGGAGAAGGCUAUGUUGGCCGGGCGACGGUUGUCCCGGUUUAAGCGUGUAGGCUGGUUUUCCAGGCAAAUCCGGAAAAUCAAGGCUGAGGCGUGAUGACGAGGCACUACGGUGCUGAAGCAACAAAUGCCCUGCUUCCAGGAAAAGCCUCUAAGCAUCAGGUAACAUCAAAUCGUACCCCAAACCGACACAGGUGGUCAGGUAGAGAAUACCAAGGCGCUUGAGAGAACUCGGGUGAAGGAACUAGGCAAAAUGGUGCCGUAACUUCGGGAGAAGGCACGCUGAUAUGUAGGUGAAGUCCCUCGCGGAUGGAGCUGAAAUCAGUCGAAGAUACCAGCUGGCUGCAACUGUUUAUUAAAAACACAGCACUGUGCAAACACGAAAGUGGACGUAUACGGUGUGACGCCUGCCCGGUGCCGGAAGGUUAAUUGAUGGGGUUAGCCGCAAGGCGAAGCUCUUGAUCGAAGCCCCGGUAAACGGCGGCCGUAACUAUAACGGUCCUAAGGUAGCGAAAUUCCUUGUCGGGUAAGUUCCGACCUGCACGAAUGGCGUAAUGAUGGCCAGGCUGUCUCCACCCGAGACUCAGUGAAAUUGAACUCGCUGUGAAGAUGCAGUGUACCCGCGGCAAGACGGAAAGACCCCGUGAACCUUUACUAUAGCUUGACACUGAACAUUGAGCCUUGAUGUGUAGGAUAGGUGGGAGGCUUAGAAGUGUGGACGCCAGUCUGCAUGGAGCCGACCUUGAAAUACCACCCUUUAAUGUUUGAUGUUCUAACGUUGACCCGUAAUCCGGGUUGCGGACAGUGUCUGGUGGGUAGUUUGACUGGGGCGGUCUCCUCCUAAAGAGUAACGGAGGAGCACGAAGGUUGGCUAAUCCUGGUCGGACAUCAGGAGGUUAGUGCAAUGGCAUAAGCCAGCUUGACUGCGAGCGUGACGGCGCGAGCAGGUGCGAAAGCAGGUCAUAGUGAUCCGGUGGUUCUGAAUGGAAGGGCCAUCGCUCAACGGAUAAAAGGUACUCCGGGGAUAACAGGCUGAUACCGCCCAAGAGUUCAUAUCGACGGCGGUGUUUGGCACCUCGAUGUCGGCUCAUCACAUCCUGGGGCUGAAGUAGGUCCCAAGGGUAUGGCUGUUCGCCAUUUAAAGUGGUACGCGAGCUGGGUUUAGAACGUCGUGAGACAGUUCGGUCCCUAUCUGCCGUGGGCGCUGGAGAACUGAGGGGGGCUGCUCCUAGUACGAGAGGACCGGAGUGGACGCAUCACUGGUGUUCGGGUUGUCAUGCCAAUGGCACUGCCCGGUAGCUAAAUGCGGAAGAGAUAAGUGCUGAAAGCAUCUAAGCACGAAACUUGCCCCGAGAUGAGUUCUCCCUGACUCCUUGAGAGUCCUGAAGGAACGUUGAAGACGACGACGUUGAUAGGCCGGGUGUGUAAGCGCAGCGAUGCGUUGAGCUAACCGGUACUAAUGAACCGUGAGGCUUAACCUU
RNAcentral lists this ribosomal RNA (2905 nucleotides) under Escherichia coli. RNAcentral's name for it is "23S ribosomal RNA". It matches the Rfam family "Bacterial large subunit ribosomal RNA". The record is from RNAcentral. Lineage: Bacteria; Pseudomonadati; Pseudomonadota; Gammaproteobacteria; Enterobacterales; Enterobacteriaceae.